Molecule: ribosomal RNA, 449 nt
Filed under: uncultured bacterium
Lineage: Bacteria
Description: partial 16S ribosomal RNA
Rfam family: Bacterial small subunit ribosomal RNA
Source: RNAcentral
AACGAUCGCUGGCGGCAUGCCUAACACAUGCAAGUCGAACGAGACCUUCGGGUCUAGUGGCGCACGGGUGCGUAACGCGUCGGAAUCUGCCCUCUGGUACGGAAUAACUCAGGGAAACUUGAGCUAAUACCGUAUAAUGACUUCGGUCCAAAGAUUUAUCGCCUGAGGAUGAGCCCGCGUCGGAUUAGCUAGUUGGUGAGGUAAAGGCUCACCAAGGCGACGAUCCGUAGCUGGUCUGAGAGGAUGAUCAGCCACACUGGGACUGAGACACGGCCCAGACUCCUACGGGAGGCAGCAGUGGGGAAUAUUGGACAAUGGGCGAAAGCCUGUUCCAGCAAUGCCGCGUGAGUGAUGAAGGCCUUAAGGUUGUAAAGCUCUUUUACCCGGGAUGAUGAUGACAGUACCGGGAGAAUAAGCGCCGGCUAACUCCGUGCCAGCCGCCGCGGUAG